AUAAACAGACAAGGAACUACGUGUAGCCACGUUUCCACGUGUAACCCAUGUCUCUUUAAGCAUCAAGAAUACCAAAGGUUUCAUUAGUGAUAGGAAGGGUGAAAUUCGCUGUCGUAAUUUUUUGCUUCAUUUUUUUUUUUAAAUUUCACCUACAACAUAGAUCACCGAGGAGGAGGAGCCUCAGCCGCAGUCGCAGCAGGUCUCUUUCAAGAGACAGACGUAGAUAUCGGUCUCUCUCCAGAGACAAGAAUCGUAAGCGCUCAAGAUCCUUCUCACGGUCAAGGAGUCGUUCCCGGUCUAACGAGAGGAAAUGAAGUACUCGGAGGAUGGUUCAUCUGCAGGAUCCUGCUAUGGUUGUGAAAAUACAAAUUUUUAUAGUCAUGUUCUUCUUUUUAGAUUUUGUUUGCCAGCUCAAGGCAGUCUAAGGUCGGUUUGUUUCAUAUGGUGUAAUAGCAGUCUGUUGGAUUAACA
Long non-coding RNA from Xiphias gladius (swordfish), 471 nucleotides. RefSeq lists it as uncharacterized. The record is from RefSeq and is a predicted model, not a curated record. The transcript is spliced from 3 exons. Lineage: Eukaryota; Metazoa; Chordata; Actinopteri; Istiophoriformes; Xiphiidae.